This 374-nucleotide ribosomal RNA is filed under the name uncultured bacterium. RNAcentral describes it as "partial 16S ribosomal RNA". It matches the Rfam family "Bacterial small subunit ribosomal RNA", at positions 355 to 721 of the family's 1533-position model. The record is from RNAcentral.
UGGGGAAUAUUGGACAAUGGGCGAAAGCCUGAUCCAGCCAUGCCGCGUGUGUGAAGAAGGUCUUCGGAUUGUAAAGCACUUUAAGUUGGGAGGAAGGGCAUUAACCUAAUACGUUAGUGUUUUGACGUUACCGACAGAAUAAGCACCGGCUAACUCUGUGCCAGCAGCCGCGGUAAUACAGAGGGUGCAAGCGUUAAUCGGAAUUACUGGGCGUAAAGCGCGCGUAGGUGGUUUGUUAAGUUGGAUGUGAAAUCCCCGGGCUCAACCUGGGAACUGCAUUCAAAACUGACUGACUAGAGUAUGGUAGAGGGUGGUGGAAUUUCCUGUGUAGCGGUGAAAUGCGUAGAUAUAGGAAGGAACACCAUUGGCGAAGG